GCUAAAAAUCUAGCCUAUAAAUUUUUAAUACCUUCCACCUUCUUAAUCAAAAUAAAUCAUUUUAUAAUUUAAGUAAAGGCGAUUGAAAAAAUUCUUAGAGCCUCAACUUUAGUACCGCAAGGGAAAGAUGAAAUAUUAAUGAAAUACUUUAAGCACAAAACAGUAGAGUUUAAAGCUCGUACCUUUUGCAUCAUGGUCUAGCAAGUCCUUAUCAAGCACAAAGACAUUUUAGUUUGACUUCCCGAAACUAGGCGAGCUACUUCAAAACAACCUUUAGGGCCAACCCGUCUCUGUUGCAAAAGAGUGGGGAGAUUUUCAAGUAGAAGUGAUAAGCCAAUCGAGCCUAGCGAUAGCUGGUUAUUCAAGAAAAGAAUCUUAGUUCUGCUUUAAGCUUCCUCCUGAUCCUUAACAACUAUUAAGCUUAAAAUUAUUCAAUAAGGCCAGCUUAUUUGAAAAGGUACACCUAAACUUAGGGU
Molecule: ribosomal RNA, 476 nt
Filed under: Occidozyga martensii (round-tongued floating frog)
Lineage: Eukaryota; Metazoa; Chordata; Amphibia; Anura; Dicroglossidae
Description: partial 16S ribosomal RNA
Rfam family: Bacterial large subunit ribosomal RNA (bases 162-476)
Source: RNAcentral